This 252-nucleotide ribosomal RNA is filed under the name uncultured bacterium. RNAcentral's name for it is "partial 16S ribosomal RNA". It matches the Rfam family "Bacterial small subunit ribosomal RNA", at positions 524 to 776 of the family's 1533-position model. The record is from RNAcentral.
GACGUAGGGGGCGAGCGUUGUCCGGAUUUAUUGGGCGUAAAGAGCGUGUAGGCGGCCAGACAGGUCCGUUGUGAAAACUCGAGGCUCAACCUCGAGAUGUCGAUGGAAACCGUCUGGCUAGAGUCCGGAAGAGGAGUGUGGAAUUCCUGGUGUAGCGGUGAAAUGCGCAGAUAUCAGGAAGAACACCUAUGGCGAAGGCAGCACUCUGGGACGGUACUGACGCUGAGACGCGAAAGCGUGGGAGCGAACAGG